AAAUCUGCUUGGAUUGAACCAUCCACUGGGAAUACUAUUUACCUCAGCAUUAAGGAGUCCAGGCUCUAUAUGAAGGCUGGAGAUAAGAUAGGAGAUGGCUCAAUAGAAGAUGAUUAUUCUGCUCUCCACCAACUUUCCUCUGAUGUAGAAGGAGAUGGAAGGCCUGAGAAUAAAAAAGCUCUACAAUGGUAGGAAGUGGAAGGAGUAAAAAGAAAAAAAAUAGACUGGUAGUAGAAGGGAGGAGCUCUCUUGCACUGACACAGAUGGAAGUCAGACCACUCAUCCCUAACACCCUCCCCUCAAGGGAAGUGCAAAGCAGAAGAUGGAAGGCACUGAAGUCAGAGGAAGGCCCGUAUCCUCUCCUUACUUGAGGCUGGACAUCAGGCAGAUGCAGUGAGAGGCAGAGGUCAUGUUGCAAAGGGAAGUAAAAAUUGGGUAGAUGGAAAUUGGUCCAGGUGCUUCUGCCUUCCCUCAAGGGACACAGACAACAGGAGAUGGAUGGAAAGUGUGACUCUGUCAGGAAGAAGUGACUCCACUUCUCACCUUUCUCAUCUUUUAUCACCUCAACAAAUUAGAGUGUAUAAAUAUAAUAGAAUCUUAUUGAACUGUAAGAAAUGAUGAAAUCUAGGAAGACUGAUAUGAACUGAUGCAGAAUGAAGUGAGCAGAACUUGGAGAACAAUCUAUACAAUAACAACACCAUAGUAAAGACAAACUUUGAAAGCAUUAAGAACUUGGAAGCAUACAAAGACCAGUUGAUGCAAUGCAAUCUGGUCCAGAUUGGUGAUGAAGCACUGACCCAGAGGGGAUCAAUUCAAGGUACACAAUGAGAUUAUCUGUUUCAGACAUCAUCCACAAGGCAGACAUGCAAAUUCUGGGUUGGUCCCAAUCAAGUGGACAGCAUUUAUUUGGAGUGCUUAAAGACAAAUUUGGGAAAGAAACCAUGUGCACCGAAAAUGAUGGCUGUAUACUUGCCUUAUGCUACAGUACUAUCAUGUUUCUCCAGCAGUUUGCCUGCAUAUUGAAUGACGAAAUAAGUAAUGGGGCAUUAGGGACUCUUGAAACAUAUCUAGCUGCGUCCCUCAGCACUUUUCCUUCCAUUCCCUUUACCACUCAAGGCACUUAGGCACUCAGUUAGCUCUUCUCCAUAUGUCUUUUUAGUUUGUGCUCUUAUGCUGGCUU
RNAcentral lists this long non-coding RNA (1180 nucleotides) under Monodelphis domestica (gray short-tailed opossum). Its description in RNAcentral is "lncRNA (ENSMODG00000050259.1)". The record is from RNAcentral. Lineage: Eukaryota; Metazoa; Chordata; Mammalia; Didelphimorphia; Didelphidae.